RNAcentral lists this long non-coding RNA (1281 nucleotides) under Olea europaea subsp. europaea. Lineage: Eukaryota; Viridiplantae; Streptophyta; Magnoliopsida; Lamiales; Oleaceae. The record is from RNAcentral.
GUAUUUCCUGCCAUUUUAACUGGGAACGUCGUCUUUGGCUUCUUCGCAUCCCAGCGAUUUGGGGCUGAUUUGAUGGGUCUUUGGGCUGUGAAUUCCCAAGCUUCCUUAACUAUGGAAUUUCGGUUCUCCAUAAUUUGGUCCAGUCCUUUUGGGCCCAAUACCCUAAUUUCAGCCCUUAUUUUUGGCUUAAGCCUAUUAACGAACGUACUUUUCAGGACCUCAUAUGGUAUCUCCUUCAAUGGUGCGGCUAACACUUCGAACUCCCAUCGAAAUUCUGCUACAGUGUCCCUUUGUCCUUUGACGAGAAAUUUUUCACACAUACUCCCCUCCUAUGUUGAUCGGAAUCGCAGCAGCAGUUGGUGCCUGAACUUUUGCCAAUUUUGGAACGGCAUUCUCGCCUCUAUCCAUUGAAGCCAUGAAAGCGCGUCACCAUCAAGACUUACCCCUACCGCCCCUAAUUUCUGCUGCUCGGUCAACCCAUUAAUAUCGAAAUAUCUCUCAGCAUGGAAUAACCAUCCAUCCGGGUCCGUCCCACUGAAAAUGGGCAUUUUGAUUUUUCGUAUUUUUCUCCAAUUAUCUCCUCCUUUGUAUUGGUCGGCAGUGACAAUACCUCCCCUGAAAUUAGCUUCACCCGACCCCUCCGACCAUUUGCCAUGAUCCAGGCUGCGUUGAUCACCAAUGUUUGCCAGUUGUUUAUUUUGUAGCAGGAUCCCUGGUAAUGUCGCUUGAUCCAUCCUUUUCUAUAUUUCUACUUUCCCCAACUUUUGAAUUUGCCAUUGUAGCCACCGCCUUCCUAGUUCCUUCUAUGGAUUGUAGUACUAUAGCCAAGCUUUGGGUUAAUUGUUCCACUGAUUCUGCUAGGCCUGGAAGUUGCUGCAUCUCCACCUUCAUUUUUUCAACAUCUCUCUCCACUGCUUCUACCCUGCCUUCCGUUUUUUUGGGGCCAUCAGGACGUUGAUGUUCAGAUACCAAUUUGAUGGGAAACCACUGAAAGAGAUGAAAAUUCUGAGGAUUUUAUUAUAAUGCUGAAUGUAAACGCAGAGAAAUGAAAUACAGGAAAGUAACCAGACUUUUUCUACUCAAUGAUUGCCUGCCUAUCUCCUACUUCUUCCCCCUAUUUAUAACCCGUAUCUAACAUAUUUACUCCCCUACCCCAACAUGCUUUUGUAACAGAAUUUAGUUAAGCUUGUCUUCCAGCUAAAUCUCCACCCUUCUUGAAUCUUCUAGAGUAGGUGAAGAGGAUGGUCAAUCUGCAGCCUACACAUUGGUUAACAAGUUGGA